CCAUCAGUUCUCCUUCUUAUUUUUUUGGGUUUCUUUAUGCAAACCCUAGCGAGCCGCUGAUUCCUCCUUGCCGCUCGUCGCACGACCCCCCUCCCUCCUCUCCUCUUCCUCUUGUCGCCGAUCCAUCGCAACAGUGGCACCCCUCGCCGCUCUCUCUGGCCGUCUCUCGCCGUCCCGGUGGUCCGUUCGUGGUUGUGUCUCGCCGGCUGGAGUUUGCCUUCUCUCUUCUCUCUCUCUGUUCGGCUCUUUCUCUAGCCGUCUCUCGCCGGCGCUCGCGGCCUCUGCUCCCUCGCCCUCCCUCGCCUCCACCCUCCAUCAAUCUUCCGGACACGCGUCGACACGCGUGUCAAAAAAAAGUUGACCGCGUGUCCGGCCGUGUCCAAGCGUGUCGACGUGUCCGACACGCUCCGACACGUGUCGGACACGACACGGAAGCAUGGACAACGUCUCCGUGCUUCAUAGGUUAUUUAUUUAUUGUCUGAAGACAGCGAAUGCACAUAUUCGUGGUUUAUGUCGGAUAUUUUCUUUUUGUCAACAACCUUCUUAAAUUCGGAUCUCGAAUUAUUUUUUCUCUUACCACAACUAUAAUUUCUUUGUAUUGUGUAUUAUUAUCAAUGAUUCUCUUCAUGACCCAGUGGUUCAAAUAUUUUAUUACAAGUUUAAUCUUUCACGCAUCAAGUUCAUUGCGCAUUGCAGCAAUUGUAUGAGAAUUUGCCAAGUGCAUGGAGCUUGAAAGUUGACAUUUCAAACGUUGAUUUUUCUUCAUAUAUGCAUCUCGAGUGUACAUCAUUUAACGAGUCUAAUUGUCUGGAGGACGAGAGAAACAAAUUUCAUAGGCUGAAGAGUGUCUAUUGAUAAGCUUUCUACUGUCAAUGACGGGGACACUCGAACCACACUCACCUAAACACGCAGCUAAAAACUUGACAAUUGGCCAUUGGAUGAGGAUAAAUUCUACCAAUCACUAUCAAUGCAAUGCCAUCCAUAUUUUCUAUCUCUCAUCUCUCCAAGUCUAAAGGUUCAAUCUCAUCGAUUGACAUUUGUCCUUUGGUUUGGCAGUAUAAUUGAAAAGUCCCUACAAGGUUAAAU
RNAcentral lists this long non-coding RNA (1086 nucleotides) under Eucalyptus grandis. Its description in RNAcentral is "long non-coding RNA (EGRA_LNC004546)". The record is from RNAcentral. Lineage: Eukaryota; Viridiplantae; Streptophyta; Magnoliopsida; Myrtales; Myrtaceae.